AGUAACGCGUGGAUAACCUGCCUUACACUGGGGGAGUAACACUUAGAAAUAGGUGCUAAUACCGCAUAAGCGCACAGAGCCGCAUGGCUCAGUGUGAAAAACUCCGGUGGUGUAAGAUGGAUCCGCGUCUGAUUAGCUGGUUGGCGGGGUAGAAGCCCACCAAGGCGACGAUCAGUAGCCGGCCUGAGAGGGUGAACGGCCACAUUGGGACUGAGACACGGCCCAAACUCCUACGGAAGGCAGCAG
RNAcentral lists this ribosomal RNA (246 nucleotides) under uncultured bacterium. RNAcentral describes it as "partial 16S ribosomal RNA". It matches the Rfam family "Bacterial small subunit ribosomal RNA", at positions 109 to 354 of the family's 1533-position model. The record is from RNAcentral.